RNAcentral lists this ribosomal RNA (876 nucleotides) under Stephanoprora sp. 1 SB-2020. Its description in RNAcentral is "partial large subunit ribosomal RNA". It matches the Rfam family "Eukaryotic large subunit ribosomal RNA", at positions 51 to 611 of the family's 3401-position model. The record is from RNAcentral. Lineage: Eukaryota; Metazoa; Platyhelminthes; Trematoda; Plagiorchiida; Echinochasmidae.
CGGAGGAAAAGAAACUAACCAGGAUUCCCUUAGUAACGGCGAGUGAACAGGGAAAAGCCCAGCACCGAAGCCUGUGGCCGUUUGGUCUCUAGGCAAUGUGGUGUUCAGGUCAGCUCGCAGAGAUACUGCUCCACCCUAAGUCCUGUAAUGAGUAAGGUUACUGGAGCGGCCCACAGAGGGUGAAAGGCCCGUGGGGGUGGAGAUGCAGAUGAGUCAGUGUCUCUAUGAGUGGACCUUGGAGUCGGGUUGUUUGUGAAUGCAGCCCAAAGUGGGUGGUAAACUCCAUCCAAGGCUAAAUACUGGCACGAGUCCGAUAGCGAACAAGUACCGUGAGGGAAAGUUGAAAAGUACUUUGAAGAGAGAGUAAACAGUGCGUGAAACCGCUCAAAGGUAAACGGGUGGAGUUGAACUGCAAGCUCCGGGAAUUCAACUGGUGAGUGUGAUGUGAGCUUGGCACAUAGUUGUACAUCUGGGUCUGCUUAGCUGCAGGUCUCCGCCUCUGGUGGGGAUGCGCGAAUCACUUAUCAUGUGUUGUGCGCCCGGGCUGUGUCGAACUGGCUCGCCAGUGCACUUUCUCGGAGUAGUCACCACGACCGGCGUUGCUGCCUUGCUGUUGCGGUUAAACCGGCCUUGUAGGGUCCCUGUGGCCUUGCUUGGUCGGGAUGGCAGGUAGCCCGUUGUGUACUUCUGUGCGCCUCGGGUGUAAUAGCUGACUGCAUCGGUUUUGUGCGGUACGUCGGAGACGGCGGCUUGUUGUGCGUGCGUGCGUACCUUGUGCGCUGGCGGCGCUGGGUCCGGUUGCCAUGUUGCUUGUGAAUGCAGGCCUGGUGAUGGCUCGGUGUUGUUCGGUGUGCGGAUGCGUGUGUGGCACUUAAA